This 408-nucleotide ribosomal RNA is filed under the name uncultured bacterium. RNAcentral describes it as "partial 16S ribosomal RNA". It matches the Rfam family "Bacterial small subunit ribosomal RNA", at positions 29 to 526 of the family's 1533-position model. The record is from RNAcentral.
AGUGAACGCUGGCGGCGUGCCUAAUACAUGCAAGUCGAACGGAGUGGCGCACGGGUGAGUAAUGUAUAGCUCAUCUGCCCUACACUAGAGGACAACAGUUGGAAACGACUGCUAAUACUCUAUAGUGUAGGAUGAGGCUAUAUUGUAUCAGCUAGUUGGUGAGGUAAUGGCGCACCAAGGCUAUGACGCAUAACUGGUCUGUGAGGAUGAUCAGUGACACGGGAAAGGAGACAGGGGGCAGACACCUACGGGAAGGAGCAGUAGGGAAAAAUGGACAAUGGGGGAAACCGUGAAGGAGGAACGGGGCGUGGAGGAUGACACUUUUCGGAGCGUAAACAGCAUUUGAUAGGGAAGCGGUACCUAACGAAUAAGCACCGGCUAACUCCGUGCCAGCAGCCGCGGUAAUAC